CUCAUGUUCGAAUCAUUGGAAGGGGUGAGUGUUUAUGGGAAGUGAGAGGGUUGAUUAAUUUUGCAACCCACUUGUUGAAAACAAAUAUGUAUUGUGCUUGCCUUCCCAUUAUUUGGGUUAGAAUUGAAAAUUUUGCUUCAUUUCAUUAUUCUUUUGCAAGAAGAAUAUAACACUAAAGGCUAGACAAUAAAGCCAUUGACAUUACCAUAUUCAAUCUUCUAGUUUUAUCAGUGAAAAAUGGAUUAAUAAUUUCCAAUUCUUUUAAAAGUUCUCAAAAUCUUGUAGAUGAUUUUAGCAUAAAGUCAUCAUUCUAACUAGCAAUCAUUUUCCUUUUAGAGCUCCAAAGCCAUUGAACUCUAUUACCAUAGCAUGGGGAAUUUCUCAUGAGAAAUCUGGAGCCAUAAGCUGCCUAUCUUGAAAAUGUCCAGUGGGAAUUUGAAUUAGCCAAACCCACCAUGGUGUUCAUCAGAAACACAUUAUUCUAACAAGCAAUCACUUUCUGCCAGUUGGCACUUCAUGGUGUUCAUCAGAAAGUGAUUGCUUGUUAGAAUAAUGUGUUUCUGAUGAACACCAUGGUGGGUUUGGCUAAUUCAAAUUCCCACUGGACAUUUUCAAGAUAGGCAGCUUAUGGCUCCAGAUUUCUCAUGAGAAAUUCCCCAUGCUAUGGUAAUAGAGUUCAAUGGCUUUGGAGCUCUAAAAGGAAAAUGAUUGCUAGUUAGAAUGAUGACUUUAUGCUAAAAUCAUCUACAAGAUUUUGAGAACUUUUAAAAGAAUUGGAAAUUAUUAAUCCAUUUUUCACUGAUAAAACUAGAAGAUUGAAUAUGGUAAUGUCAAUGGCUUUAUUGUCUAGCCUUUAGUGUUAUAUUCUUCUUGCAAAAGAAUAAUGAAAUGAAGCAAAAUUUUCAAUUCUAACCCAAAUAAUGGGAAGGCAAGCACAAUACAUAUUUGUUUUCAACAAGUGGGUUGCAAAAUUAAUCAACCCUCUCACUUCCCAUAAACACUCACCCCUUCCAAUGAUUCGAACAUGAG
This 1029-nucleotide unclassified non-coding RNA is filed under the name Hevea brasiliensis (rubber tree). Lineage: Eukaryota; Viridiplantae; Streptophyta; Magnoliopsida; Malpighiales; Euphorbiaceae. The record is from RNAcentral.